RNAcentral lists this ribosomal RNA (372 nucleotides) under uncultured organism. Its description in RNAcentral is "partial 16S ribosomal RNA". It matches the Rfam family "Bacterial small subunit ribosomal RNA", at positions 527 to 896 of the family's 1533-position model. The record is from RNAcentral.
GUAGGUGGCAAGCGUUGUCCGGAAUUAUUGGGCGUAAAGCGCGCGCAGGCGGUUCUUUAAGUCUGAUGUGAAAGCCCACGGGCUCAACCGUGGAGGGUCAUUGGAAACUGGAGGACUUGAGUACAGAAGAGGAAAGCGGAAUUCACGUGUAGCGGUGAAAUGCGUAGAGAUGUGGAGGAACACCAGUGGCGAAGGCGGCUUUCUGGUCUGUAACUGACGCUGAGGCGCGAAAGCGUGGGGAGCAAACAGGAUUAGAUACCCUGGUAGUCCACGCCGUAAACGAUGAGUGCUAAGUGUUAGGGGGUUUCCGCCCCUUAGUGCUGCAGCUAACGCAUUAAGCACUCCGCCUGGGGAGUACGGCCGCAAAGGCUG